Molecule: ribosomal RNA, 424 nt
Filed under: Theileria orientalis
Lineage: Eukaryota; Apicomplexa; Aconoidasida; Piroplasmida; Theileriidae
Description: partial small subunit ribosomal RNA
Rfam family: Eukaryotic small subunit ribosomal RNA
Source: RNAcentral
AUUACCCACUCUCGACACAGGGAGGUAGUGACAAGAAAUAACAAUACGGGGCUUAAUGUCUUGUAAUUGGAAUGAUGGGAAUUUAAACCUCUUCCAGAGUAUCAAUUGGAGGGCAAGUCUGGUGCCAGCAGCCGCGGUAAUUCCAGCUCCAAUAGCGUAUAUUAAAAUUGUUGCAGUUAAAAAGCUCGUAGUUGAAUUUCUGCUGCAUUACAUAUCUCUUGUUUGAGUUUGUUUUUGUGGCUUAUUUCGGAUUGAUUUUUUUAUCUUUCCAGAUGAACACUUUGAAAAAAUUAGAGCGCUCAGAGCGCGCUUUUGCCUUGAAUAUUUUAACGUGGAAUAAUAAAGUAAGACUUUGGCUCUAUUUUGGUGGUUUUAGGCACCAAAAAAGUGGAUAAUAAGAACAGGUGGGGGCAUUCAUAUUUAA